CCAUACCAGUCGGGGAGUCAGCGGUGCCCUGUACCUGCAAUCCGCUACAGCAGGGAUAGCUUCCGUUUGCGAGGGUUGGAGAUGUGCGGUCCGCACCGUAUAAACCGCGUGAUGACGGGUUGGUCUUGUGCAAUCGGUUGCCGUGAACCAUGUCAGAUGGGGAACCAAGCAGCAUUAAGCGGAGUUUACCGAUGUGCCACGAGGGUGCCUGCCCCGAGCGAGGAAUACGGAAAGCGCGUGUAUGUUCAUCUCGAACUUACGGUGUAUGG
This 269-nucleotide signal recognition particle RNA is filed under the name Clostridiales bacterium. RNAcentral's name for it is "signal recognition particle sRNA large type". It matches the Rfam family "Bacterial large signal recognition particle RNA". From Rfam's summary of the family: The signal recognition particle (SRP) is a universally conserved ribonucleoprotein involved in the co-translational targeting of proteins to membranes. Archaeal SRP consists of a 7S RNA and homologues of the eukaryotic SRP19 and SRP54 proteins. The record is from RNAcentral. Lineage: Bacteria; Bacillati; Bacillota; Clostridia; Eubacteriales.